Molecule: ribosomal RNA, 360 nt
Filed under: uncultured Pseudomonas sp.
Lineage: Bacteria; Pseudomonadati; Pseudomonadota; Gammaproteobacteria; Pseudomonadales; Pseudomonadaceae
Description: bacterial SSU rRNA
Rfam family: Bacterial small subunit ribosomal RNA
Source: RNAcentral
UCUGACACAGGUGCUGCAUGGCUGUCGUCAGCUCGUGUCGUGAGAUGUUGGGUUAAGUCCCGUAACGAGCGCAACCCUUGUCCUUAGUUACCAGCACGUUAUGGUGGGCACUCUAAGGAGGACUGCCGGUGGACAAACCGGAACGGAAGGUGGGGAGUGACGUCAAGUCAUCAUGGCCCUUACGGCCUGGGCUACACACGUGCUACAAUGGUCGGUACAAAGGGUUGCCAAGCCGCGAGGUGGAGCUAAUCCCAUAAAACCGAUCGUAGUCCGGAUCGCAGUCUGCAACUCGACUGCGUGAAGUCGGAAUCGCUAGUAAUCGUGAAUCAGAAUGUCACGGUGAAUACGUUCCCGGGCCUU